Molecule: ribosomal RNA, 586 nt
Filed under: uncultured bacterium
Lineage: Bacteria
Description: partial 16S ribosomal RNA
Rfam family: Bacterial small subunit ribosomal RNA
Source: RNAcentral
UGGGGAAUUUUGGACAAUGGGCGAAAGCCUGAUCCAGCAAUGCCGCGUGUGUGAAGAAGGCCUUCGGGUUGUAAAGCACUUUUGUCCGGAAAGAAAUCCUUGGCUCUAAUACAGUCGGGGGAUGACGGUACCGGAAGAAUAAGCACCGGCUAACUACGUGCCAGCAGCCGCGGUAAUACGUAGGGUGCAAGCGUUAAUCGGAAUUACUGGGCGUAAAGCGUGCGCAGGCGGUUUGCUAAGACCGAUGUGAAAUCCCCGGGCUCAACCUGGGAACUGCAUUGGUGACUGGCAGGCUAGAGUAUGGCAGAGGGGGGUAGAAUUCCACGUGUAGCAGUGAAAUGCGUAGAGAUGUGGAGGAAUACCGAUGGCGAAGGCAGCCCCCUGGGCCAAUACUGACGCUCAUGCACGAAAGCGUGGGGGAGCAAAACAGGAUUAGAUACCCUGGUAGUCCACGCCCUAAACGAUGUCAACUAGUUGUUGGGGAUUCAUUCCUUAGUAACGUAGCUAACGCGUGAAGUUGACCGCCUGGGGAGUACGGUCGCAAGAUUAAAACUUAAAGGAAUUGACGGGGUCAUAGCUGUUUCCU